RNAcentral lists this ribosomal RNA (496 nucleotides) under uncultured bacterium. Its description in RNAcentral is "partial 16S ribosomal RNA". It matches the Rfam family "Bacterial small subunit ribosomal RNA", at positions 28 to 507 of the family's 1533-position model. The record is from RNAcentral.
GAUGAACGCUGGCGGCGUGCCUAAUACAUGCAAGUCGAGCGAACGGACGAGAAGCUUGCUUCUCUGAUGUUAGCGGCGGACGGGUGAGUAACACGUGGAUAACCUACCUAUAAGACUGGGAUAACUUCGGGAAACCGGAGCUAAUACCGGAUGAUAUUUUGAACCGCAUGGUUCAAAAGUGAAAGACGGUCUUGCUGUCACUUAUAGAUGGAUCCGCGCUGCAUUAGCUAGUUGGAAGGUAACGGCUUACCAAGGCAACGAUGCAUAGCCGACCUGAGAGGGUGAUCGGCCACACUGGAACUGAGACACGGUCCAGACUCCUACGGGAGGCAGCAGUAGGGAAUCUUCCGCAAUGGGCGAAAGCCUGACGGAGCAACGCCGCGUGAGUGAUGAAGGUCUUCGGAUCGUAAAACUCUGUUAUUAGGUAAGAACAUAUGUGUAAGUAACUGUGCACAUCUUGACGGUACCUAAUCAGAAAGCCACGGCUAACUACGUG